CUCACAGGGGCUGCCUGGCCUCUUUGCCCUCUCUUGCAAUGCAAUGUGGGAGCAAGGUGUUUCUGAAGCAGAGAGAAUCAGGACACGCCUCCUGCUUGAGUACCGAGUUGCUGCUCCCACGAGAUCAGCUCCAAGGUGGGGAGGAGGGGGGAGGAGGAGGCAAUGAAGACUGCUAUGAAGACUUUUUCAUACCAGGGACCAAUAUGUCAGAUGCUGACCCUGGGAAACUUUAUUAUUUACCUCUGCUGGAAUGGGAAAGGAAAAUAGCUGGAACAAGCACAGCUCUCGGAUAGAUGUGGUGCAAUUGUCUGUACAAGGCAGCUCCAUGGGAACUCCACCAGAGAACCAGACACACUCAGCAAACACAGCCGAGCACACAGAGCAGUGAAGGAGAAGUGUGAAGCAUUAAACAUUUCCUUUCCUUUCUCUAUUACCUUCUCACAA
Long non-coding RNA from Strigops habroptila (Kakapo), 444 nucleotides. RefSeq lists it as uncharacterized. Lineage: Eukaryota; Metazoa; Chordata; Aves; Psittaciformes; Psittacidae. The transcript is spliced from 2 exons. The record is from RefSeq and is a predicted model, not a curated record.